UACGGAGGGGGUUAGCGUUGUUCGGAAUGACUGGGCGUAAAGCGCGCGUAGGCGGGCUGGAAAGUUGGGGGUGAAAUCCCGGGGCUCAACCCCGGAAUGGCCUUCAAAACUCCCAGCCUAGAGUUCGAGAGAGGUGAGUGGAAUUCCGAGUGUAGAGGUGAAAUUCGUAGAUAUUCGCAAGAACACCAGUGGCGAAGGCGGCUCACUGGCCCGAUACUGACGCUGAGGCACGAAAGCGUGGGGAGCAAACAGG
RNAcentral lists this ribosomal RNA (253 nucleotides) under uncultured bacterium. Its description in RNAcentral is "partial 16S ribosomal RNA". It matches the Rfam family "Bacterial small subunit ribosomal RNA", at positions 524 to 776 of the family's 1533-position model. The record is from RNAcentral.